This 721-nucleotide ribosomal RNA is filed under the name Exophiala equina. Its description in RNAcentral is "eukaryotic LSU rRNA". It matches the Rfam family "Eukaryotic large subunit ribosomal RNA", at positions 96 to 831 of the family's 3401-position model. Lineage: Eukaryota; Fungi; Ascomycota; Eurotiomycetes; Chaetothyriales; Herpotrichiellaceae. The record is from RNAcentral.
AAGCGGCAACAGCUCAAAUUUGAAAUCUGGCCUCUUUGGGGUCCGAGUUGUAAUUUGUAGAGGAUGUUUCGGGUACCGCCUCGGUUUAAAUUUCUUGGAACAGAAUGUCAAAGAGGGUGAGAAUCCCGUCUUGGACCGGCGGUAGGGCCCAUGUGAAACUCCUUCGACGAGUCGAGUUGUUUGGGAAUGCAGCUCAAAAUGGGUGGUAAAUUUCAUCUAAAGCUAAAUAUUGGCCAGAGACCGAUAGCGCACAAGUAGAGUGAUCGAAAGAUGAAAAGCACUUUGAAAAGAGAGUUAAACAGUAUGUGAAAUUGUUGAAAGGGAAGCGCUUACAACCAGACUUGCGCGCGGCGGUUCCCCCUUCCUUUUGGUUGGGCUACUCCGUCGUGUCCAGGCCAACAUCGGUUCUGGGGGUCGGUUAAAGACCCUGGGAAUGUACCUACCCUUCGGGCGUAGACUUAUAGCCCAGGGUGUCAUGCGACCUCCCGGGACCGAGGAACGCGCUUCGGCUCGGAUGUUGGCGUAAUGGUUGUCAGCGACCCGUCUUGAAACACGGACCAAGGAGUCUAACAUCUAUGCGAGUGUUUGGGUGUCAAACCCGGAACGCGAAAUGAAAGUGAACGGAGGUGGGAAGCCGUGAGGCUGCACCAUCGACCGAUCCUGAUGUCUUCGGAUGGAUUUGAGUAAGAGCAUAGCUGUUGGGACCCGAAAGAUGGUGAAC